RNAcentral lists this ribosomal RNA (420 nucleotides) under uncultured bacterium. RNAcentral's name for it is "bacterial SSU rRNA". It matches the Rfam family "Bacterial small subunit ribosomal RNA", at positions 356 to 773 of the family's 1533-position model. The record is from RNAcentral.
GAGGAAUAUUGCGCAAUGGAGGCAACUCUGACGCAGCCAUGCCGCGUGCAGGAUGAAGGCGCUACGCGUUGUAAACUGCUUUUAACCGGGAAGAAACCCCAGGACGUGUCCUGGGUUGACGGUACCGGAGGAAUAAGCACCGGCUAACUUCGUGCCAGCAGCCGCGGUAAUACGAAGGGUGCAAGCGUUAUCCGGAUUCAUUGGGUUUAAAGGGUGCGUAGGUGGGGCGUUAAGUCAGUGGUGAAAGCCUACAGCUCAACUGUAGAAUUGCCAUUGAUACUGGCGCUCUUGAGUGCGCUUGAAGUAGGCGGAAUGUGCCGUGUAGCGGUGAAAUGCUUAGAUAUGGCACAGAACACCAAUUGCGAAGGCAGCUUACUAAGGCGAUACUGACACUGAGGCACGAAAGCGUGGGGAUCGAAC